GGCGUAGGCGGCCUGUCAAGUCGGAUGUGAAAUCUCCCGGCUUAACUGGGAGGGUGCAUUCGAAACUGAUGGGCUAGAGUGCAGCAGAGGGAGGUGGAAUUCCCGGUGUAGUGGUGAAAUGCGUAGAUAUCGGGAAGAACACUAGUGGCGAAGGCCGGCCUCCUGGGCUGUAACUGACGCUGAGGUCCGAAGGCGUGGGGAGCAAACAGGAUUAGAUACCCUGGUAGUCCACGCAGUAAACGAUGGAUACUAGGUAUGGGGGAGUAUCGACCCUCUCUGUGCCGAAGCUAACGCUUUAAGUAUCCCGCCUGGGGAGUACGGUCGCAAGACUAAA
This 334-nucleotide ribosomal RNA is filed under the name uncultured bacterium. RNAcentral describes it as "bacterial SSU rRNA". It matches the Rfam family "Bacterial small subunit ribosomal RNA", at positions 568 to 898 of the family's 1533-position model. The record is from RNAcentral.